This 230-nucleotide ribosomal RNA is filed under the name uncultured bacterium. RNAcentral describes it as "partial 16S ribosomal RNA". It matches the Rfam family "Bacterial small subunit ribosomal RNA", at positions 563 to 791 of the family's 1533-position model. The record is from RNAcentral.
AAGCGCACGUUAGGCGGCUUUGUAAGUAAGAGGUGAAAGCCCAGAGCUCAACUCUGGAAUUGCCUUUUAGACUGCAUCGCUUGAAUCAUGGAGAGGUCAGUGGAAUUCCGAGUGUAGAGGUGAAAUUCGUAGAUAUUCGGAAGAACACCAGUGGCGAAGGCGGCUGACUGGACAUGUAUUGACGCUGAGGUGCGAAAGCGUGGGGAGCAAACAGGAUUAGAUACCCUUGU